CAAAACACUGGUAAUUAUGAAAUAUAAUGGCAGCAAUCCAGUUCUUGUCAUCUUACAAUCUAAUCGGUUUGUUAAUAGGAACCCUUAUAGUCAAGAGCAUAAAUCAGAUUUCAAUGAAACUGAAUCCUUGUUCACAUAACACUGAUAGCAUAGUCAAUACUCAAUACACGAGUAUUACACAUAUAAUAUGUAUGCAUAUACAUAUUAAGAGUUUCAUUGGCAGCAACUUCAAGUAAUAGUAAAUACACUUUUACUAAUUGUUCCAAACAACAAAUACUAACUGUUCCUGUCAAGAGAUGAAGAGGAAGAAGAGAUCGGAAGGGGCAGCGAGCUAGAAGUCAGCAAAGUGAAUACCCCAUAUACUGAAGAUUACAUACGAGCAGAAACAAUUCAACUGGAAGGAAAAAAUGAAAGGAAAAUUGAAGAACCAACCUCAGCAUCUGUCCAUAUGAUCCCAAGAGUGACAAACUGAUCAUGUUCAAAUGAUUUUUCCAGUUUCAAACAUGCUGCAACCAGAGGGUUUUCGAGCAUGAGUUCGCAGAGAAGUAUUGUGGAACCGUUUGGAAGAGGAAGGGGAAGAAACCCUCGAUGAGAAAGCACAUUUCAUUUGAAGUGGAGAGAAGAAGAAUGUAAAGUGGAGCACCAGUGAAUAGACAUACAUAGUACUCUAUCCGGAAAUUAGUUUCCCUCUCCAAAUGGCUAAUUCAUAUAGCAACAAUCUAAAACAUUAAUCUGCAGCCAUGGAGAACUCAGCAAAGAAGAUGGUGAAGCAUCCCUGAAUACUUCUGGCCACUCUUGACUUCCACAACUGUGUUCCUAAUCCUCAUCAUGG
RNAcentral lists this long non-coding RNA (832 nucleotides) under Linum usitatissimum (flax). Its description in RNAcentral is "long non-coding RNA (LUSI_LNC004763)". Lineage: Eukaryota; Viridiplantae; Streptophyta; Magnoliopsida; Malpighiales; Linaceae. The record is from RNAcentral.